RNAcentral lists this ribosomal RNA (506 nucleotides) under uncultured bacterium. Its description in RNAcentral is "bacterial SSU rRNA". It matches the Rfam family "Bacterial small subunit ribosomal RNA", at positions 29 to 526 of the family's 1533-position model. The record is from RNAcentral.
AACGAACGCUGGCGGCGUGUUUAAGACAUGCAAGUCGCACGGGAUUGGUUGAGUAGUAAUACGAUUCCAGUCUAGUGGCGCACGGGUGAGUAACAUGUGAAUUACAUGCCCUUCAGUGGGGAAUAGCCCAGGGAAACUUGGAUUAAUACCCCAUGGUAUCGCAAGAUUAAAGGUGGCCGCAAGGCUGUCGCUGAAGGAUUGGUUGGCACCCUAUCAGCUUGUUGGUGAGGUAAUGGCUCACCAAGGCUACGACGGGUACCUGGUCUGAGAGGACGAUCAGGCACACUGGAACUGAGACACGGUCCAGACACCUACGGGUGGCAGCAGUCGAGAAUAAUUCACAAUGGGGGCAACCCUGAUGGUGCAACGCCGCGUGGAGGAUGACGGUCUUCGGAUUGUAAACUCCUGUCAUCUGGGAGUAAGGCAUGGUUGUUAAUAGCAAACAUGAUUGAUAGUACCAGAAGAGGAAGGGACGGCUAACUUCGUGCCAGCCGCCGCAGUAAUAC